GUUGCACCCGUGGCCAUAUUUAUAUAAUCGCUUUAGCUUCAAUUGCAAGAAAGGCAACAGUUUUCUUAUGUAGUUUAAACUGUUUGUCCAGAGAGACGGAGCGAGGUGCUUUUAAAAACCUGGCAUUAAAUCUUGCAAAGCAUGUUGAGGUGGUCAACGCUGGUAUUCCUCCCUCAGCCGCCUUCGAGCGUGUCUACAGCUAUGCUGAACUGGUAUUUACUACAAAACGAAUAAGAAUGAACUGCUAACUGAAAACCCACUACUUAACUAGGAAACUAGGUAGAUUGUCGUCUGAUUUCGAAAAAUGCCAGAUUUGUUUUUAUUUUGUGUAUAUUUCAGCAUUUCAUUAAUUAUUUUACACCAAUUGUUGUCUACGUUCUAUAUUACAACUGCAUAAACUUUAUUAAACACACGUCAACUCUAUUAAUGUGUUGUCUAUAUUAAAAAUAAGCUUUUUAGCAACAGAGCAGCUGUGAAAUAGACAGAGGGUAUCACUUUAUUAUGAAAACAAAUCAAAAAUAAAAAAGACAAUCAACAAACUCUUCAUUUGAGUGAG
Cynoglossus semilaevis (tongue sole) is the source of this 556-nucleotide long non-coding RNA. RefSeq lists it as uncharacterized. The transcript is spliced from 2 exons. The record is from RefSeq and is a predicted model, not a curated record. NCBI's taxonomy places the organism in Eukaryota, Metazoa, Chordata, Actinopteri, Pleuronectiformes, Cynoglossidae.